This 253-nucleotide ribosomal RNA is filed under the name uncultured bacterium. Its description in RNAcentral is "partial 16S ribosomal RNA". It matches the Rfam family "Bacterial small subunit ribosomal RNA", at positions 524 to 776 of the family's 1533-position model. The record is from RNAcentral.
UACGUAGGGGGCAAGCGUUGUCCGGAUUUAUUGGGCGUAAAGAGCGUGUAGGCGGCCUGGAAGGUCAGCUGUGAAAACUCGAGGCUCAACCUCGAGACGUCGGUUGAAACCACCUGGCUAGAGUCCGGAAGAGGAGAGUGGAAUUCCCGGUGUAGCGGUGAAAUGCGCAGAUAUCGGGAGGAACACCGGUGGCGAAGGCGGUUCUCUGGGCCUGACCUGACGCUGAGGAGCGAAAGCGUGGGGAGCGAACAGG